Molecule: ribosomal RNA, 468 nt
Filed under: uncultured bacterium
Lineage: Bacteria
Description: partial 16S ribosomal RNA
Rfam family: Bacterial small subunit ribosomal RNA
Source: RNAcentral
GACGAACGCUGGCGGCGUGCUUAACACAUGCAAGUCGAACGGAAAGGCCCUGCUUUUGUGGGGUGCUCGAGUGGCGAACGGGUGAGUAACACGUGAGUAACCUGCCCUUGACUUUGGGAUAACUUCAGGAAACUGGGGCUAAUACCGGAUAGGAGCUCCUGCUGCAUGGUGGGGGUUGGAAAGUUUCGGCGGUUGGGGAUGGACUCGCGGCUUAUCAGCUUGUUGGUGGGGUAGUGGCUUACCAAGGCUUUGACGGGUAGCCGGCCUGAGAGGGUGACCGGCCACAUUGGGAUUGAGACACGGCCCAGACUCCUACGGGAGGCAGCAGUGGGGAAUAUUGCACAAUGGGCGGAAGCCUGAUGCAGCAACGCCGCGUGCGGGAUGACGGCCUUCGGGUUGUAAACCGCUUUCGCCUGUGACGAAGCGUGAGUGACGGUAAUGGGUAAAGAAGCACCGGCUAACUACGUG